This 163-nucleotide ribosomal RNA is filed under the name Englerina ramulosa. Its description in RNAcentral is "5.8S ribosomal RNA". It matches the Rfam family "5.8S ribosomal RNA". From Rfam's summary of the family: 5.8S ribosomal RNA (5.8S rRNA) is a component of the large subunit of the eukaryotic ribosome. It is transcribed by RNA polymerase I as part of the 45S precursor that also contains 18S and 28S rRNA. Lineage: Eukaryota; Viridiplantae; Streptophyta; Magnoliopsida; Santalales; Loranthaceae. The record is from RNAcentral.
ACAAUGACUCUCGGCAACGGAUAUCUCGGCUCUCGCAUCGAUGAAGAACGCAGCGAAAUGCGAUACCUGGUGUGAAUUGCAGAAUCCCGUGAAUCAUCGAGUUUUUGAACGCAAGUUGCGCCCGAGGCCUCUCGGUCAAGGGCACGCCUGCCUGGGCGUCACG